GUACUAGUAGUUCAAAAGCCGGAACGCCGGUUUUGUAAACCGGAUGUUGAGGGUUAAAGCCCCUUCUGGUACU
This 73-nucleotide transfer RNA is filed under the name Cromileptes altivelis (humpback grouper). Its description in RNAcentral is "tRNA-Thr". It matches the Rfam family "tRNA". Rfam says of the family: Transfer RNA (tRNA) molecules are approximately 80 nucleotides in length. Their secondary structure includes four short double-helical elements and three loops (D, anti-codon, and T loops). Further hydrogen bonds mediate the characteristic L-shaped molecular structure. tRNAs have two regions of fundamental functional importance: the anti-codon, which is responsible for specific mRNA codon recognition, and the 3' end, to which the tRNAs corresponding amino acid is attached (by aminoacyl-tRNA synthetases). tRNAs cope with the degeneracy of the genetic code in two manners: having more than one tRNA (with a specific anti-codon) for a particular amino acid; and 'wobble' base-pairing, i.e. permitting non-standard base-pairing at the 3rd anti-codon position. The record is from RNAcentral. Lineage: Eukaryota; Metazoa; Chordata; Actinopteri; Perciformes; Serranidae. RNAcentral also lists the same sequence under 2 other names.